CGAUCCGAAUUCUGCUUGUUCGAGCAAAACUGAGAUCCCUGUUGGAAACAUUAACGGGGUUAUAGCCGACGAUGUCAACAGAAAACCAAGAUGCUAAACUAUAGGUGUUUCGUUCUUGACACUUUCAUGACAAUACGUGAGACGAGUUGCGAGACGUAGCUUUCUGCAUUGUUUACUUUUUGUUUGGUUGUGUCGUUAUGGUUUCAUAUCAACUCGCUGAGGAAAACAACUGAAGAAAGAAAUAAGCAAAUAUAUAUUCGUGAAAAAUAGUGUACUAGAGCUGCAAUAAGAUGCCGUAUUAUUGUGCAGUAAAAGGAUGCGGAAACAAGGUCCGCAUAACGAAAAACAACCCGGACAUUGUUUACCACACUUUCCCCCGAGAUGGAGAUAGACUUCAUAAAUGGAUACUUUUCUGUGGCCAAUUACUUUCAACAACUUUUUCCGGAUCUUCUGGCGUGAUCGAUAGUCGUGAUUCCAACAGUUUAUUUCACCUGUAAUAUAUUAGCAACACAAAAGUCCACUAAUUUGAAAAAUAAACACGAACCUGUUGCAAUCAUU
Molecule: long non-coding RNA, 558 nt
Organism: Toxorhynchites rutilus septentrionalis
Lineage: Eukaryota; Metazoa; Arthropoda; Insecta; Diptera; Culicidae
Exons: 2
Source: RefSeq, a predicted model, not a curated record